This 458-nucleotide ribosomal RNA is filed under the name uncultured bacterium. RNAcentral's name for it is "partial 16S ribosomal RNA". It matches the Rfam family "Bacterial small subunit ribosomal RNA", at positions 29 to 507 of the family's 1533-position model. The record is from RNAcentral.
AACGAACGCUGGCGGCAUGCCUAACACAUGCAAGUCGAACGAGACCUUCGGGUCUAGUGGCGCACGGGUGCGUAACGCGUGGGAACCUGCCCUUAGGUUCGGAAUAACUCCCCGAAAGGGGUGCUAAUACCGGAUAAUGUCUUCGGACCAAAGAUUUAUCGCCUUUGGAUGGGCCCGCGUUUGAUUAGCUAGUUGGUAGGGUAAAAGCCUACCAAGGCGUCGAUGCGUAGCUGGUCUGAGAGGAUGAUCAGCAACACUGGGACUGAGACACGGCCCAGACUCCUAGGGGAGGCAGCAGGAGGGAAUCUUCCGCAAUGGGCGAAGGGGGGAAGGAGGAACGCCGCGGGAGUGAUGAAGGCCUUCGGACCGUAAAAGUGUGUAAUGAGGGAAGGAUAAAAAUGUAAGUAACCAGGCACGUAAAGAAGGUACCCAAGCAGAAAGACCCGGGUAAACACGUG